AAUGGUCACUGCUUAAUAUGAUUAACUUUUUUUUUCCAUUCUCAUUUUACAGUUCCUGAUGAAUAUCUGUUAUCGCUGAAGUUUCUCUUUGGCUCAUCAGCCACCCAGGCCUUGGACCUAGUUGAUCGACAGUCCAUCACCUUAAUCUCAUCACCCAGUGGAAGGCGUGUUUACCAGGUCCUUGGAAGUUCCGGUAAAACAUACACAUGUUUGGCUUCUUGUCAUUACUGUUCAUGUCCUGCAUUUGCCUUCUCAGUGCUACGGAAGAGUGACAGCAUCCUGUGCAAGCAUCUCUUGGCAGUUUACCUGAGUCAGGUUAUGAGGACCUGUCAGCAGCUAAGUGUCUCUGACAAGCAGUUGACUGACAUAUUAUUGAUGGAGAAGAAACAAGAAGCAUAAAAGGUACAGAUUGAGCAUCAUUCUUUCAAAAUAGAAUCCUGUCAAGAAAUGCAUUGAAAGCGUCAUGAUUCACAUGGAAAAGAGGUGAAACGGAUCUUCAGACACUUCAUGUUACUGUCCCU
Molecule: small RNA, 521 nt
Filed under: Pan troglodytes (chimpanzee)
Lineage: Eukaryota; Metazoa; Chordata; Mammalia; Primates; Hominidae
Description: processed transcript
Source: RNAcentral